GCAAGUCGAACGAUGAUCCGGAGCUUGCUCCGGGGAUUAGUGGCGAACGGGUGAGUAACACGUGAGUAACCUGCCCUUGACUCUGGGAUAAGCGUUGGAAACGACGUCUAAUACCGGAUAUGACCUUUGCCGGCAUCGGCUGGAGGUGGAAAGAUUUUUUGGUCAAGGAUGGACUCGCGGCCUAUCAGGUAGUUGGUGAGGUAAUGGCUCACCAAGCCGACGACGGGUAGCCGGCCUGAGAGGGUGACCGGCCACACUGGGACUGAGACACGGCCCAGACUCCUACGGGAGGCAGCAGUGGGGAAUAUUGCACAAUGGGCGAAAGCCUGAUGCAGCAACGCCGCGUGAGGGAUGACGGCCUUCGGGUUGUAAACCUCUUUUAGUAGGGAAGAAGGGAGCUUGCUCUUGACGGUACCUGCAGAAAAAGCACCGGCUAACUACGUGCCAGCAGCCGCGGUAAUACGUAGGGUGCAAGCGUUGUCCGGAAUUAUUGGGCGUAAAGAGCUCGUAGGCGGUUUGUCGCGUCUGCUGUGAAAUCUGGGGGCUCAACCCCCAGCCUGCAGUGGGUACGGGCAGACUAGAGUGCGGUAGGGGAGAUUGGAAUUCCUGGUGUAGCGGUGGAAUGCGCAGAUAUCAGGAGGAACACCGAUGGCGAAGGCAGAUCUCUGGGCCGUAACUGACGCUGAGGAGCGAAAGCAUGGGGAGCGAACAGGAUUAGAUACCCUGGUAGUCCAUGCCGUAAACGUUGGGAACUAGAUGUAGGGGCCAUUCCACGGUUUCUGUGUCGCAGCUAACGCAUUA
Molecule: ribosomal RNA, 801 nt
Filed under: Frondihabitans sp.
Lineage: Bacteria; Bacillati; Actinomycetota; Actinomycetes; Micrococcales; Microbacteriaceae
Description: bacterial SSU rRNA
Rfam family: Bacterial small subunit ribosomal RNA
Source: RNAcentral